UUGUAUGGGAAGAACAGUUAGAAUGGAAAUGAUUUUAGUUUGACGGUACCAUCCCAGAAAGGGACGGCUAAAUACGUGCCAGCAGCCGCGGUAAUACGUAUGUCCCGAGCGUUAUCCGGGAUUUAUUGGGCGUAAAGCGAGCGCAGACGGUNUAUUAAGUCUGAUGUGAAAGCCCGGAGCUCAACUCCGGAAUGGCAUUGGAAACUGGUUAACUUGAGUGCAGUAGAGGUAAGUGGAACUCCAUGUGUAGCGGUGGAAUGCGUAGAUAUAUGGAAGAACACCAGUGGCGAAGGCGGCUUACUGGACUGCAACUGACGUUGAGGCUCGAAAGUGUGGGUAGCAAACAGGAUUAGAUACCCUGGUAGUCCACACCGUAAACGAUGAACACUAGGUGUUAGGAGGUUUCCGCCUCUUAGUGCCGAAGCUAACGCAUUAAGUGUUCCGCCUGGGGAGUACGACCGCAAGGUUGAAACUCAAAGGAAUUGACGGGGACCCGCACAAGCGGUGGAGCAUGUGGUUUAAUUCGAAGCAACGCGAAGAACCUUACCAGGUCUUGACAUCCUUUGAAGCUUUUAGAGAUAGAAGUGUUCUCUUCGGAGACAAAGUGACAGGUGGUGCAUGGUCGUCGUCAGCUCGUGUCGUGAGAUGUUGGGUUAAGUCCCGCAACGAGCGCAACCCUUAUUGUUAGUUGCCAGCAUUCAGAUGGGCACUCUAGCGAGACUGCCGGUGACAAACCGGAGGAAGGCGGGGACGACGUCAGAUCAUCAUGCCCCUUAUGACCUGGGCUACACACGUGCUACAAUGGCGUAUACAACGAGUUGCCAACCCGCGAGGGUGAGCUAAUCUCUUAAAGUACGUCUCAGUUCGGAUUGUAGUCUGCAACUCGACUACAUGAAGUCGGAAUCGCUAGUAAUCGCGGAUCAGCACGCCGCGGUGAAUACGUUCCCGGGUCUUGUACACACCGCCCGUCACACCAUGGGAGUUUGUAAUGCCCAAAGCCGGUGGCCUAACCUUUUAGGAAGGAGCCGUCUAAGGCAGGACAGAUGAUGGGGAAGU
Molecule: ribosomal RNA, 1056 nt
Filed under: Leuconostoc mesenteroides subsp. mesenteroides
Lineage: Bacteria; Bacillati; Bacillota; Bacilli; Lactobacillales; Lactobacillaceae
Description: bacterial SSU rRNA
Rfam family: Bacterial small subunit ribosomal RNA
Source: RNAcentral